GUAAAUUUAUUUAUUUUGUAAUGUAAAAAGGGCAAAUAUAAUUUUAAAUUGUUAAUUAAAUUAAAAUAUAUAUUAAAUACUGAAAAAAAUUUAUUCAUUUUAAAAAGAUAAAUGAAAAUGAUACUUAUAAUUGCUAUAAGCAUUUUCAUGCUGAUCAAGUGUAUCAUUAUUCUUGGCUUUUGUUUGUGUGUAUGUUGUCAAUGGAUUUUGCAAAUCCUCAAUAGUGAAUCAGAAAGCCCAUUAUACCACAGUCACUUGCUAUUUUUCAAUAUGGAGAACAAUGCAUUCUUGGAGCAUAUUGGCCUAGUGAUGAAAUCUGACAUUUCCACUUCCACCCAUUGAGACACACUUGAGCAUUUGUG
This 362-nucleotide long non-coding RNA is filed under the name Androctonus crassicauda. Lineage: Eukaryota; Metazoa; Arthropoda; Arachnida; Scorpiones; Buthidae. The record is from RNAcentral.